RNAcentral lists this ribosomal RNA (477 nucleotides) under uncultured anaerobic ammonium-oxidizing bacterium. Its description in RNAcentral is "bacterial SSU rRNA". It matches the Rfam family "Bacterial small subunit ribosomal RNA", at positions 365 to 832 of the family's 1533-position model. The record is from RNAcentral.
UUCGCAAUGCCCGAAAGGGUGACGAAGCGACGCCGCGUGGGUGAGGAAGGCCUUCGGGUUGUAAAGCCCUGUCAGGAGUUAAGAAAUGUAAGUGUGCUAAUAUCGCAUUUACUUGACGAAGGCUCCAAAGGAAGUCACGGCUAACUCUGUGCCAGCAGCCGCGGUAAUACAGAGGUGGCAAGCGUUGUUCGGAAUUAUUGGGCGUAAAGAGCACGUAGGUGGGUUUGUAAGUCAGAUGUGAAAGCCUUCUGUUCAACGGAAGAAUUGCAUCUGAAACUGCAAAUCUUGAGUAUAGGAGGGGAGAAUGGAACUUCUGGUGGAGCGGUGAAAUGCGUAGAUAUCAGAAGGAACGCCGGCGGCGAAAGCGACUCUCUGGCCUAUUACUGACACUGAGUGUGCGAAAGUUAGGGGAGCAGACGGGAUUAGAUACCCCGGUAGUCCUAACUGUAAACGAUGGGCACUAAGUAGAGGGGUUUU